This 432-nucleotide ribosomal RNA is filed under the name uncultured bacterium. RNAcentral describes it as "partial 16S ribosomal RNA". It matches the Rfam family "Bacterial small subunit ribosomal RNA", at positions 29 to 506 of the family's 1533-position model. The record is from RNAcentral.
AACGAACGCUGGCGGCAUGCCUAACACAUGCAAGUCGAACGAGACCUUCGGGUCUAGUGGCGCACGGGUGCGUAACGCGUGGGAACCUGCCCUUAGGUUCGGAAUAACUCCCCGAAAGGGGUGCUAAUACCGGAUAAUGUCUUCGGACCAAAGAUUUAUCGCCUUUGGAUGGGCCCGCGUUGCAUUAGCUAGUUGGUAGGGUAAAAGCCUACCAAGGCGACGAUCCAUAGCUGGGCUGAGAGGAUGAUCAGCCACACUGGGACUGAGACACGGCCCAGACUCCUACGGGAGGCAGCAGUGGGGAAUAUUGGACAAUGGGCGAAAGCCUGAGCCAGCCAUGCCGCGUGAGUGAUGAAGGCCUUAGGGUUGUAAAGCUCUUUUACCCGGGAUGAUAAUGACAGUACCGGGAGAAUAAGCCCCGGCUAACUCCGU